This 254-nucleotide ribosomal RNA is filed under the name uncultured bacterium. Its description in RNAcentral is "partial 16S ribosomal RNA". It matches the Rfam family "Bacterial small subunit ribosomal RNA", at positions 524 to 775 of the family's 1533-position model. The record is from RNAcentral.
UACGGGGGGGGCAAGCGUUGUUCGGAAUUACUGGGCGUAAAGGGCUCGUAGGUGGCCAACUAAGUCAGACGUGAAAUCCCUCGGCUUAACCGGGGAACUGCGUCUGAUACUGGAUGGCUUGAGUUCGGGAGAGGGAUGCGGAAUUCCAGGUGUAGCGGUGAAAUGCGUAGAUAUCUGGAGGAACACCGGUGGCGAAGGCGGCAUCCUGGACCGACACUGACGCUGAGGAGCGAAAGCCAGGGGGGAGCAAACGG